GGUCUAUGUCUUCUGGACUAACUAAUGAUGUGGGACUUGAUUUGAAUGAUCCGGUAAAAUAUUAUAUAGAAGCAGUACCAUUAUUAUUAUUAUUUUAUUUUUUUUGAGAGAUAGAUAGCACGCUACCCGUUUCGUUUAUUUUAUUUAGAAAUAAACUUAGCUGAAAAUGUGAAUCAACUAGGAUUCGAACUUGAUCUCAGAUACUAACUACCAAGCCUUUUAGCACUUGCUCUAGGGACGGUGGAUAGUACCAUUUUUAUUGUUAGACAACCUAAUUC
RNAcentral lists this long non-coding RNA (278 nucleotides) under Ananas comosus (pineapple). Its description in RNAcentral is "long non-coding RNA (ACOM_LNC025113)". The record is from RNAcentral. Lineage: Eukaryota; Viridiplantae; Streptophyta; Magnoliopsida; Poales; Bromeliaceae.